Molecule: ribosomal RNA, 400 nt
Filed under: uncultured bacterium
Lineage: Bacteria
Description: bacterial SSU rRNA
Rfam family: Bacterial small subunit ribosomal RNA
Source: RNAcentral
UUAGGAAUCUUCCACAAUGGGCGAAAGCCUGAUGGAGCGACGCCGCGUGAGGGAUGAAGGCCUUAGGGUUGUAAACCUCUAAAAGAGGGUCGAUAAUGACGGUACCUCUUGAAUAGCACCGGCUAACUCCGUGCCAGCAGCCGCGGUAAUACGGAGGGUGCAAGCGUUAUCCGGAAUCACUGGGCGUAAAGGGCGCGUAGGCGGUCUGUUAAGUCCGAUGUUAAAUCCCGGGGCUUAACCCCGGAUAAGCGUUGGAUACUGGCAGGCUAGACGGUUGGAGAGGCGAGUGGAAUUACCAGUGUAGCGGUGGAAUGCGUAGAUACUGGUAGGAACACCCAUUGCGAAGGCAGCUCGCUGGACAACACGUGACGCUGAGGCGCGAAAGUGUGGGGAGCAAACC